UAGGAGACAGGGAUCUCGCUAUGUUGCCCAGGCUAGUCUCGAACUCCUGGCCUCAAGUGAUCCUCUCACCUCAUUGUCCGGAGUAGCUGAGAUUAUAGUGGUGAACCACCAUGCCUGGCACCCCCUCAGCUUUAUUAAGGUCUGUUCGAGGCUAAAUUGUUUUCCUCAAAAUUGCAUAUGUUGAAGCUCUAACCCUCCCCAACCGUAGAAUGUGACUGUAUUGGAGAUGGGACCUUCGAAAAGUUGAUUAAGGCAGAAUAAGGCGUUAGACUGGGCCCUAAUCUAAUCUGACUGGUAUCCUUAUAAGAAGAGGACAUUGAGAUUCACGGAGACACCAAGAUUUGCACGUAGAGGAAAGACCCUGUGGGAACGCACCAAGAAGGCAGCCAUCUGCAACCCAAGGAGGGAGGCCCCAGGAAAAGGCCCCUGCCGCCAUCUUGAUCCAGGACUUCCGCCAUCUUGACCCAGGACUGCUACUCUCCCAAGCAGUGAGAAAAAUCCAUUUCUGUUGUUUAAGCCACUCAGCCUGUGGCAUUUUGUUAUGGCAGCUCCAGUAAGUGAAUACAGGGUUGUAUCUAGUUUUUAAUGUUAUGAACAAUGCUGCUAAAAACAUUUUAGUUUCUCUCCACAUGUACCUCAUACUUUCUUCUCCAUAUGCAAGAGUGGUACUGCUGGGUUGUCGAGUAUACAUAUUUUUCUCUAGUAAGAUAGUGCCUAAAAGUUUUCCACAGAAGUGUAAAAUUUUAACAUAACUCUACAAUGUUGCGAAUACUUAAUAUUGUCAGACUGAAUUGUUGCUGUUCUUGAUUUUUCUAAAUUGAAUUUUCUUUUUCUUCCUUACCUUGUUCAUGGGUUCAGAAGUUAUCUACCGUAUUUCUUUUAUUUUAGUGGUUACCUUUAGUAUUUUACCUUACAUCUUUUACAUUUUUUUUUUGAGAUGGAGUCUUGCUCUGUUGCCCAGGCUGGAGUGCAGUGGUGCGAUCUCGGCUCACUGCAAGCUCUGCCUCCUGGGUUCACGCCAUUCUCCUGCCUCAGCCUCCCCAGUAGCUAGGACUGCAGGCGCCAGCCACCACGCCCAGCAAUUUUUUCCUGUAUUUUUAGUAGAGAUGGGGUCUCACCGUGUUAGCCAGGAAGGUCUCAAUCUCCUGACCUUGUGAUCCGUCCGCCUUGGCCUCCCAACGUGCUGGGAUUACAGGCGUGAGCCACCGCGCCCGGCCAAAAUUUUUUUUUAAUAUUUGUGGGUACAUAGUAGGUGUAUGUAUUUAUGGGACACAUGAGAUGUUCUGAUACAGGCAUGCAAUGUGAAAUAAGCACAUCAUGGAGAAUGGAGUAUCCAUCCCCUCAAGCAUUUAUCCUUUGAGUUAUAAACAAUACAAUUAUACUCGUUAAGUUAUUUUUAAAUGUACAAUUAUUAUUGGCUAUAGUUAUCCUGUUGUGAUAUCAAAUAGUGAGUCUUAUUCAUUCUAAUUUUUUGUACCCAUUAACUAUGCCUUCCUCCCCACCAGCCCCCCAUUACCCUUCCCAGCCUUUGGCAACCAUCCUUCUACUCUCUACGUCCGUGAGUUCAAUUGUUUUGACUUUUAGAUCCCACAAAUAAGUGAGAACAGUGAUGUUUGUCUUUCUGUGCCUGGCUUAUUUCACUUAACAUAAUGAUCUCCAGGUUUACUGUACAUCUUUUAAUCUAAAGUUAAUCAGUGUCUUUCCCAGGAUCAUAUAAGAGGCUUAGAACAUUGUUGCAAUCACACUUUCCCAACUUACAUGGUACUGUUGUCUAGUGUUUUGUUUUAAUUAUGUUGUUUUAACUAUGUUGCCCAGGCUAGAUUCCAACUCCUGGGCUUAAGGAAUCCUCCUACCUCAGCCUCCCAAGUAGCUGGGCCUAUAGGUAUGCAUCACUGUACCUGGCUGUUUUUCUUUUUUUUAAAUUUAAAUACACACAUCUUUCUCUGUUGCCCAGGCUGGAGUGCAGUGGUGUGAUCACAGCUUACUACAGCCUUGCUUGAACUCUUGGACUCAAGUGAUCCUCCUGCCUCAUCUUCCCAAGUAGCUGAGACUACAGGCGUGCACCACCAUGAUGGGCUAAUUUUUCUGUUUUUCACGGUAACUGGGUUUUGCCAUGUUGCCCAGACUAGUCUCAAACUCCUGGGCUCAAGUAAUCCAGUGCCUUGGCCUCCCAAAGUGCUGGGAUUACAGACAUGAGCCAUCACGCCUGGGCUGUUUUCAUUUUUUUCUUAACUUAUGAAGCUAGACGCUAUUAUUCUAUAUAGGUAAUAUGUGCUUUAGAUAUACACAUGUUUAUCAUUUUGUUUCUUUGUUCAUUCAUUCCUUCUUAUAUUUCACACUUUGCUCCUUCAGCUGGUUUUUGUUUUUGAUUUUCUUUCAUUUCUGAACAUCUUUUAGAAGUACCAUUAGUGAAGGUUCACUGGAGAUAAAUUCUGUUUUUGCUUAUCUGAAAAUGCCUUUCAGUUUUAUUCUUGAAAUACAGUUUUUUGGAGGUCAUAAUUCGAGGGCCAUGGUGGUUUGCUGUCUGUAUUUUUUAUGUAUUAUUUGACAUUUCAGUUCUCUGACUUCCAUUUGUUGCUGUUAAGAAGACUGCUAACAGUCCGGUGAUCAUUCUGUAUAUGUAUAGGUGACAUUUUUUCUCACUGGGUGCUUUUUUUGAGAUGGAUCUUGCUCUGUCACCCAGGCUGGAGUGCAGUGGCAUGAUCUUGGCUCACUGCAACCUCCACCCUCCCUAGGUUCAAGCAAUUGUCCUGUCUUAGCCUCUCAAGUAGCUGGGAUUACAGGCACAUAUCACCACAUCUGGCUAAUUUUUUAUAUUUUUUGUAGAGACGGACGGGGUUUCACCAUGUUGGCCAGGCUGAUCUCAAACUCCUGACCUCAAGUGAUCCACCAGCUCAGCCCCCAAAGUGCUGGAAUUACAGGCAUGAGCCACUCUGCCCGGCUUUACUGGGUGCUUUAAUAGGAUGACCUGGUAUGUGAGUUUGCCUACGACAGCUGUUUUAAGUCUGUUUUCUUAGAACAUCUAUUAAGAAUGCCCUCAUUGACUCCAAAAAAAGUUCUAGUUUGGAGAAUAAAUAAUAUGGUUACCUCAGCAUUUAA
RNAcentral lists this long non-coding RNA (3099 nucleotides) under Homo sapiens (human). Its description in RNAcentral is "HSALNT0133769". The record is from RNAcentral. Lineage: Eukaryota; Metazoa; Chordata; Mammalia; Primates; Hominidae.